This 253-nucleotide ribosomal RNA is filed under the name uncultured bacterium. Its description in RNAcentral is "partial 16S ribosomal RNA". It matches the Rfam family "Bacterial small subunit ribosomal RNA", at positions 524 to 776 of the family's 1533-position model. The record is from RNAcentral.
UACGAGAGGCCCAACCGUUAUUCGGAUUUACUGGGCUUAAAGAGUUCGUAGGCGGUGCAGAAAGUGGGGUGUGAAAGCCCUCGGCUCAACCGAGGAAUUGCGCUCCAAACUACUGUACUAGAGGAAGCUAGAGGUGAGCAGAACAGAUGGUGGAGCGGUGAAAUGCGUUGAUAUCAUCUGGAAUACCGGAGGCGAAGGCGGCUCACUGGGGCUUUUCUGACGCUGAGGAACGAAAGCCAGGGUAGCGAACGGG